RNAcentral lists this unclassified non-coding RNA (218 nucleotides) under Hevea brasiliensis (rubber tree). Lineage: Eukaryota; Viridiplantae; Streptophyta; Magnoliopsida; Malpighiales; Euphorbiaceae. The record is from RNAcentral.
UGACAUUAACUGCCUCCCUUCUGCUUGAGAGUGAUCUUAUCACCCAGACUCAGAGCAAUUCCCUGGGUCUUGCUCCUUAUCCUGAUGUAUCCACUAAGCUUCCCAUCUGCCUGUUUUUCAAUGCUUACAUUUACCAGAGCAUCCUCCCCAAAAACACUUUUCGCAUACAAGUUAGCGGCUAGAAAUCCGCAUUCACCAUCUAGUGCAGACGGUGCAGU